AUGAGUCCCAGAGGCCUUAAAACAGGUUGCCAUGCCAAAGAGAGGGACAGAGGGGUUUAAGACCUUCAGUCUUGCUGCCUUGAAGUCAGAAGUCAGUCUUCUACUAGCAGCCUUUGGAUGAAGAUGUUGAACUCUCAGCUCUGCCUGUGCCAUGAUUGCCUGGAUGAUGCCCUGUUCCAACCUCUGAACCUAGGAGCAGGGGUCAAUACCAAUAUGGCAGUUCAAAACUGUCUGUAAAUCCAGUUUCCAGGGGACCUAACACCCUCUUCUGACUGCUAAGGGCAUCAGGUAUGUACAUGGUGCACUGACAUACAUGUAAUGUAGCCAGAACACUCUGGCACAUAAAAUAAAAACAGUAAGUCUUUUUAAAAAAUUAAAUGAAUAAAUGAAUGAAUGACUUGGCUGAAGGU
Mastomys coucha (southern multimammate mouse) is the source of this 410-nucleotide long non-coding RNA. RefSeq lists it as uncharacterized. The transcript is spliced from 3 exons. Lineage: Eukaryota; Metazoa; Chordata; Mammalia; Rodentia; Muridae. The record is from RefSeq and is a predicted model, not a curated record.